GCGCUCGUAGCUCAAUUGGAUAGAGCAGCGGACUUCUAAUCCGCAGGUUGCAGGUUCGAGUCCUGCCGGGCGUG
This 74-nucleotide transfer RNA is filed under the name Pirellulaceae bacterium. Its description in RNAcentral is "tRNA-Arg". It matches the Rfam family "tRNA". Rfam says of the family: Transfer RNA (tRNA) molecules are approximately 80 nucleotides in length. The record is from RNAcentral. Lineage: Bacteria; Pseudomonadati; Planctomycetota; Planctomycetia; Pirellulales; Pirellulaceae.